This is a long non-coding RNA of Megalobrama amblycephala (Wuchang bream), 2042 nucleotides long. RefSeq lists it as uncharacterized. Lineage: Eukaryota; Metazoa; Chordata; Actinopteri; Cypriniformes; Xenocyprididae. The record is from RefSeq and is a predicted model, not a curated record. The transcript has 3 exons.
UAACGAUUUAAACUUAAACAAUAACCAUUUUUAUGUUUAUUCUAUCUUGUUUUCUUAGUUUUAGCGUGAAGGCGCAUUUUUGCUAAAGCGAAUUGACCGUUAUUAACUUUUAUUUUAGGUAUUCUCAUCUGUAAAAGGAGUAAUAUAUGUAACGUUAACUGUGAUCAUUUUAAGAUAACGUUAUGCUGUCGACUUGACGGUGCACCGUGCAUCAUAUUCGCAUUUAGAUAGAUUAUGAGUUAUUAUUAUAAUUAUUUUUUUUAAUAACAGAUUCGUCAUUUCAGCGUUCUUUGCUAACGUUUUGCUUUGCAAAUAAGCCAAAACGUUGCUCAAACACACUUCAUUAUUGUAACUUAUACGUUAUCUAUAUAUUAUAUUGUCUUACAAGUAUUUGUAAAUUUGAUAAUUUCGAGAUAUGUAUUCAAAUGACUGUGUACUUUUACAAGUAUAUAUAUAUAAAUACCUGCUUUGUCAUCUCGAUGUGCAUUUUACUUUGCAUGAAAUAUAGUUUUGAAAUAUACCAAAACAUUGACAUAGUGUGUUUGUCAUUCAUCUGUAUAUAAACUAAAAAAAAUAAAAAUCCUGUUAAAAGUUGUGUCCAUGAAAGGGAACAUGAAUUCUUUUCAAGUCGUAAUUUUAUUAAAAAUAUAUAAAUAAUAAUAAUAAAGUGCAUGUCAUCUUUACUAUUUCAGAAACCUCAUCAGUGGGACAAUAACUCAAUUAUGAUAUGUGAGUUUUGUGGAAACGUAAAGUGUGUGGAAGAAGCAUCACAGAAGUAUCCAAUAUGUUUAAGUAACUGAAACAUUCUAAGAUUAAACUUGGACAUUUUGAGGAGAGAUUCAGUCAACCUCUUCACAGUAAAUUAAAUAAAAGCGGAAUUAAUGCGGAUAACGACUGUGCCACUUCUGUCAACGUUCAUAGCAGCUGGACAGAUACACUGUUGAUCAAAUUAAAGUUUUCAGCAGCAAAGGAGCUUCUGGACAAAAGAUAUCACACACAUUGCAGUUGCAGACAAGGUGUGGUAAAUUGCGUUACAGUUCUUUGGAACUAAUUACAAAGACUGAACUAUAAUCAAUCACUGUUUUUAAUAUUGUGUCAUAUUUUUCAAUGCGAAGAUAUACACUUCAAAUGAGACAGUGUCAUAAAGAGUCUGUGUGUGUAUCUCAAUGGGGACAUUACAACACUUUCAGUUCUCCAGAAUUCUUCCAGAAUUCCAGGUUUGUACUGUAUAUAUUUUUUUGUUAUGACCUACACGUAUAGUAUAUUGCUGUGUGCUGCCAAUAUUUCAGUGAAACUAAACAAGGUGUUAUAUAUUUAUUCAUUUGUUCAUUUACUUGCUUAGGACUGCAAUCCUGAAGGAACUGAGGGAGGAAUUUCUGAGACCACUCUGGGCCCUUUUGUGACCCUUAAAGAAAGUGCUGAGGAUGAGCCAGUGGAUAUUGGCGUAGCAACAGAGGGUUUAAAACUGCUACAACACUUAGGAGUUUUUCCUUUGGAUGCUGUUUGCUGUUUGGAUUGAUCUACGCAAUCAAGCUAUGCUCCGAGUCUCAAAUUCACUUUUGAAUUCUUCCAGAAGGUACUGAUGAAUUUAGAUUUUAGGACAUCACAUAGAUGUUUCGAUCCACUGGAAGGACUUAGAAAACUUUCAAACUUCUGUAACAUUGAAUUGAAGACUAUGAUCGAUGACACUAUGAACCAAUGACACUAACUCAAAUCAAGAGACUACAUCUAAUGCACCUUCUGGCUUCCUCUAACUCUGAUAUUUUUAAAGGGUUAGUUCACCUAAAAAUGAAAUUUCUGUCAUUAAUUACUCACCCUCAUGUCGUUCCACACCCGUAAGACCUUUGUUCAUCUUUGGAACACAAAUUAGGUUAUUUUUGAUGAAAUCCGUGAGCUAUCUGACCUCAGAUAGACUGCAACACAACUACCACUUUCAAGGCACAGAAAGGUAGUAAAGACAUUGUUAAAAUAGUCAAUGUGACUGCAGUGGUUCAACCUUAAUGUUAUGAAGUGACAAGAAUACUAUUUGAGCGCAAAAAAAA